This is a non-coding RNA of Cinara cedri, 774 nucleotides long. NCBI's taxonomy places the organism in Eukaryota, Metazoa, Arthropoda, Insecta, Hemiptera, Aphididae. The record is from the annotation of a GenBank genome assembly.
CGCGAGACUCGUAGCUUCUUAUCCGCAAAGACAAAAUCAAAAACGGGGGGGGGGAACGAAAUCCGAAAUCGCAAACUUAGAAUUAGUAAUAUAGGUACCUGUCCAACAAAUGUCAUAAGCUCAGGCGCGGGAAAUUUGGAACCAUUGUCAAUCUUUUAAAAAAUGAGAACUGAGAUUAAAUCUCUGUCAUUGGUUAAAUAAUAUAACAUCUACAGGUAUUAGUAAUUUUAUCUUGAAAAAUAUAUAUUUUCCAGCCAAUAAUAACAAGGAAAAGUUCGAUUUAUCGAUUGAAAAUCGGCUUUCAAGUUCCUGUUGUCGGUCGAGAUGAGCGACGGAGACAGGGUUACGAAAAAAAUUAUUUCGACCCACGUAUCUUAACGUCAUAAUUUCGAAAGGUGUCCAUAAUGACCGACACGUAUACCGACGAAAGUUAAGCCGAACCGACAUACGAGUAUUGAAAGUCGAUUCGAUAACGAGUGAAGAUAUCGGCCAACCGAGUUCGAGAGCUGACGUUCAAUCGCACGUCGAAUCGAAAACGGAUGUUGAUCAGUUUCCUUCAGUGACUAUUUUCGGUUUUUAAAAAAUGUACCAGUUACAUUUGAAGGGGGGAAUUUUAAACAAGGAUAUUAUUAAAAGCGUGAUUAACCUUACUAACCGACUCGAGUGCGAACUAAAUAAAUUCCGAUUUUUAGCGAAACCACGUUGGGUAGGAAACAGUGAAAAAACGAAAUAUUUAUCAAUUAUACGCCAGGUAUUUUACCGUGGUCAUGUAUG